CCUACGGGAGGCAGCAGUGGGGAAUAUUGGACAAUGGGGGGAACCCUGAUCCAGCAAUGCCGCGUGUGUGAAGAAGGCCUGAGGGUUGUAAAGCAUUUUCAGUGGGGAGGAGGGUUGAUAGGUUAAGAGCUGAUUGACUGGACGUUACCCACAGAAGAAGCACCGGCUAACUCCGUGCCAGCAGCCGCGGUAAU
RNAcentral lists this ribosomal RNA (194 nucleotides) under uncultured bacterium. RNAcentral's name for it is "partial 16S ribosomal RNA". It matches the Rfam family "Bacterial small subunit ribosomal RNA", at positions 338 to 524 of the family's 1533-position model. The record is from RNAcentral.